UACGGAGGGUGCGAGCGUUGUUCGGAAUCACUGGGCGUAAAGCGCGUGUAGGCGGCCCAUUAAGUCUGAUGUGAAAGCCCGGGGCUCACCCCCGGAAGUGCAUUGGAAACUGAUGGACUCGAGUCCCGGAGAGGAGAGUGGAAUUCCCGGUGUAGCGGUGAAAUGCGCAGAUAUCGGGAAGAACACCCGUGGCGAAGGCGGCUCUCUGGGACGGUACUGACGCUGAGACGCGAAAGCGUGGGGAGCGAACAGG
This 253-nucleotide ribosomal RNA is filed under the name uncultured bacterium. RNAcentral describes it as "partial 16S ribosomal RNA". It matches the Rfam family "Bacterial small subunit ribosomal RNA", at positions 524 to 776 of the family's 1533-position model. The record is from RNAcentral.